Molecule: ribosomal RNA, 821 nt
Filed under: Occultibambusa hongheensis
Lineage: Eukaryota; Fungi; Ascomycota; Dothideomycetes; Pleosporales; Occultibambusaceae
Description: Occultibambusa sp. HBJ-2021a partial large subunit ribosomal RNA
Rfam family: Eukaryotic large subunit ribosomal RNA
Source: RNAcentral
UAGUAACGGCGAGUGAAGCGGCAACAGCUCAAAUUUGAAAUCUGGCCCCCUCGGGGCCCGAGUUGUAAUUUGUAGAGGGUGCUUUGGCGUCGGCCGCGGUCUAAGUUCCUUGGAACAGGACGUCACAGAGGGUGAGAAUCCCGUACGUGGCCGCCGGUCUUCGCCGUGUAAAGCCCCUUCGACGAGUCGAGUUGUUUGGGAAUGCAGCUCUAAAUGGGAGGUAAAUUUCUUCUAAAGCUAAAUAUUGGCCAGAGACCGAUAGCGCACAAGUAGAGUGAUCGAAAGAUGAAAAGCACUUUGGAAAGAGAGUCAAAAAGCACGUGAAAUUGUUGAAAGGGAAGCGCUUGCAGCCAGACUUGCCCGCAGUUGCUCACCCGGGGCUACGCCCCGGGGCACUCUUCUGCGGGCAGGCCAGCAUCAGUUUGGGCGGCCGGACAAAGACCUCUAUCACGUAUCUUCCCUCGGGAUGACCUUAUAGGGGAGGUGUAAUGCGGCCAGCCUGGAUUGAGGUCCGCGCAUCAGCUAGGAUGCUGGCGUAAUGGCUGUAAGCGGCCCGUCUUGAAACACGGACCAAGGAGUCUAACAUCUAUGCGAGUGUUUGGGUGUCAAGCCCGGGCGCGCAAUGAAAGUGAACGGAGGUGGGAACCCCCCGGGGCGCACCAUCGACCGAUCCUGAUGUCUUCGGAUGGAUUUGAGUAAGAGCAUAGCUGUUGGGACCCGAAAGAUGGUGAACUAUGCCUGAAUAGGGUGAAGCCAGAGGAAACUCUGGUGGAGGCUCGCAGCGGUUCUGACGUGCAAAUCGAUCGUCAAAUUUGGGCAUA